This 804-nucleotide long non-coding RNA is filed under the name Zostera marina. RNAcentral's name for it is "long non-coding RNA (ZMAR_LNC004511)". The record is from RNAcentral. Lineage: Eukaryota; Viridiplantae; Streptophyta; Magnoliopsida; Alismatales; Zosteraceae.
AAUCAUCGACAGACAUCCAUCUUCUUCCUCUAAUAAACCCAUCUUCUUCCUCGCCCUUCUCCUACCCUAUCUUCCGAAAUCAAGUAUCUGUCAACUCCCUUCUCCUCCCCAAACCUUCAUAUCCGUAUAGCUGUUUUCUGCUGUAAUAUAGUAGUAGCAGGGUUGUUGUGUAGUUUUAUCAGGUUCUUUUUUGUAGUUGUAGUUGUAUUCUGCUCUUUUAAUUUUGUUUGUAUUGGUUUUAUUUAAUCUCUGAUUUCCUUUUCCCUAUCAACACCAGGGCAUUGGUUUUUAAUCGUCGAUUUAAUCUCUGAUUUCAUUUUCCCUAUGUUCAAUUGUUUCACUCUACCUUUUUUUCUUUUAGCUCAAUGGAUAUGAUCCCUUUGUCGUCGUCGUCUCCAGAAUUGAGUAUUCAAGCUGCCGACCAGAAUAAGUCGUUGGAUGUUAUCAUGUCGUCUCUAGUGUCAUCCAAUUUUAUGUUCCUAAAUUCGAUCACACUUUUUGGACAUAAGAUAGGACCUGUUACUGCUCAAUCAGCACCGUUAAUUUUAAUCUUAAUGAUAUACUGUGUUUGAAAAUCUGUCUUGUUUAUCCCCUAAUGACGACGAGGGUAGUAUUGUAAAAUUCAGAUAGAUAAGAUCAAAUAUCUUAUUAGUUAUAAAAUUAUAAUUAUAAUUAAAAUUAUAGUUAUAAUCAUAAAUAUUAAUUAUAAACUAAUCUUAACCAUUUGGUUUUCUUUUAUUUGAGUUUUAAAUCAAACAGGAUAAAAGAGUUGCAGCCCAUAAGCAUAAUGGACCGGCCCAGAAG